UGGGGAAUAUUGGACAAUGGAGGCAACUCUGAUCCAGCAAUUCUGUGUGUGUGAAGAAGGUUUUAGGACUGUAAAACACUUUUAGUAGGGAAGAAAGAAAUGACGGUACCUACAGAAGAAGCGACGGCUAAAUACGUGCCAGCAGCCGCGGUAAUACGUAUGUCGCGAGCGUUAUCCGGAAUUAUUGGGCUUAAAGGGCAUCUAGGCGGUUAAACAAGUUGAAGGUGAAAACCUGUGGCUCAACCAUAGGCUUGCCUACAAAACUGUUGAACUAGAGUACUGGAAAGGUGGGUGGAACUACACGAGUAGAGGUGAAAUUCGUAGAUAUGUGUAGGAAUGCCGAUGAUGAAGAUAACUCACUGGACAGAAACUGACGCUGAAGUGCGAAAGCUAGGGGAGCAAACAGG
Molecule: ribosomal RNA, 407 nt
Filed under: Verrucomicrobiota bacterium
Lineage: Bacteria; Pseudomonadati; Verrucomicrobiota
Description: Verrucomicrobia bacterium partial 16S ribosomal RNA
Rfam family: Bacterial small subunit ribosomal RNA
Source: RNAcentral